GACGAACGCUGGCGGCGUGCUUAACACAUGCAAGUCGAGCGAUGAAGUUCCUUCGGGAACGGAUUAGCGGCGGACGGGUGAGUAACACGUGGGUAACCUGCCUCAUAGAGGGGAAUAGCCUUCCGAAAGGAAGAUUAAUACCGCAUAAGAUUGUAGUUUCGCAUGAAACAGCAAUUAAAGGAGUAAUCCGCUAUGAGAUGGACCCGCGUCGCAUUAGCUAGUUGGUGAGGUAACGGCUCACCAAGGCGACGAUGCGUAGCCGACCUGAGAGGGUGAUCGGCCACAUUGGGACUGAGACACGGCCCAGACUCCUACGGGAGGCAGCAGUGGGGAAUAUUGCACAAUGGGGGAAACCCUGAUGCAGCAACGCCGCGUGAGUGAUGACGGCCUUCGGAUUGUAAAACUCUGUCUUCAGGGACGAUAAUGACGGUACCUGAGGAGGAAGCCACGGCUAACUACGUGCCAGCCGCCGCCGUAA
RNAcentral lists this ribosomal RNA (478 nucleotides) under uncultured bacterium. RNAcentral describes it as "partial 16S ribosomal RNA". It matches the Rfam family "Bacterial small subunit ribosomal RNA", at positions 28 to 523 of the family's 1533-position model. The record is from RNAcentral.